UCCCUGAUAGCUUAAUUGGUAAAGAAUCUGCCUUAAAUGCAGGAGACCCCAGUCGAUUCCUGGGUUGGGAA
RNAcentral lists this transfer RNA (71 nucleotides) under Ovis aries (sheep). It matches the Rfam family "tRNA". Rfam says of the family: Transfer RNA (tRNA) molecules are approximately 80 nucleotides in length. Their secondary structure includes four short double-helical elements and three loops (D, anti-codon, and T loops). The record is from Rfam by way of RNAcentral. Lineage: Eukaryota; Metazoa; Chordata; Mammalia; Artiodactyla; Bovidae.